This 19-nucleotide small nuclear RNA is filed under the name Arabidopsis thaliana (thale cress). RNAcentral describes it as "snRNA_18600". Lineage: Eukaryota; Viridiplantae; Streptophyta; Magnoliopsida; Brassicales; Brassicaceae. The record is from RNAcentral.
ACCGGCUUCCUUCGGGAGU